AUACAUUACUAAAGAAUAAUUUAAUACUUACUUUGAUACCAAUGAAACAAGACUAGUCUAUCUUGAGAGUCUAAGACUCUUCUAAUCCACAGCCACAUAAAACAUCAUCACAAAGUAGGAUAAAAUGGACUUGAACUAAACUAAAUAAAAUGUGACACAAAGACAAAAUCAUAGAAACUGAAAUAAAACAAAACAGAAUGAACAAGAAGAUGAAAAAUCAAACUUUAUUAAGAAAAAAGGUCCAAAGCUAUACUUGACUCAAUGCCCAAAAGAUCCUUGCUAGUCCUAUUUAUAUUUUGUUCUACCACC
This 309-nucleotide long non-coding RNA is filed under the name Physcomitrium patens. RNAcentral describes it as "long non-coding RNA (PPAT_LNC002445)". The record is from RNAcentral. Lineage: Eukaryota; Viridiplantae; Streptophyta; Bryopsida; Funariales; Funariaceae.